Molecule: ribosomal RNA, 164 nt
Filed under: uncultured bacterium
Lineage: Bacteria
Description: partial 16S rRNA
Rfam family: Bacterial small subunit ribosomal RNA
Source: RNAcentral
UAGGGAAUCUUCGGCAAUGGGGGCAACCCUGACCGAGCAACGCCGCGUGAGUGAAGAAGGUCUUCGGAUCGUAAAACUCUGUUGUUAGAGAAGAACAUGCAGGAGAGUAACUGUUCUUGUAUUGACGGUAUCUAACCAGAAAGCCACGGCUAACUACGUGCCAG